This 349-nucleotide ribosomal RNA is filed under the name uncultured Lactobacillus sp. Its description in RNAcentral is "bacterial SSU rRNA". It matches the Rfam family "Bacterial small subunit ribosomal RNA", at positions 191 to 525 of the family's 1533-position model. Lineage: Bacteria; Bacillati; Bacillota; Bacilli; Lactobacillales; Lactobacillaceae. The record is from RNAcentral.
AGAAAGUAGUUAAAAGGCGGCGUAAGCUGUCGCUAAAAGGAUGGACCUGCGAUGCAUUAGCUAGUUGGUAAGGUAACGGCUCACCAAGGCGAUGAUGCAUAGCCGAGUUGAGAGACUGAUCGGCCACAUUGGGACUGAGACACGGCCCAAGCUCCUACGGGAGGCAGCAGUAGGGAAUUUUCCACAAUGGACGCAAGUCUGAUGGAGCAACGCCGCGUGAGUGAAGAAGGUUUUCGGAUCGUAAAGCUCUGUUGUUGGUGAAGAAGGAUAGAGGUAGUAACUGGCCUUUAUUUGACGGUAAUCAACCAGAAAGUCACGGGCUAACUACGUGCCAGCAGCCGCGGUAAAU